GGAGAGGUGCUCGAGUGGUUUAAGAGGCACGCUUGGAAAGCGUGUGUACUCCAAAAGGGUACCGGGGGUUCGAAUCCCUUCCUCUCCGC
RNAcentral lists this transfer RNA (89 nucleotides) under Bacteroidia bacterium. RNAcentral describes it as "tRNA-Ser". It matches the Rfam family "tRNA". Rfam says of the family: Transfer RNA (tRNA) molecules are approximately 80 nucleotides in length. Their secondary structure includes four short double-helical elements and three loops (D, anti-codon, and T loops). Lineage: Bacteria; Pseudomonadati; Bacteroidota; Bacteroidia. The record is from RNAcentral.